GACGAACCACACGAACGUUAUUCGGAAUUACUGGGCUUAAAGGGUGCGUAGGCUGUGCAGUAAGUUAGGUGUGAAAUCCCCCGGCUCAACCGGGGAAUUGCGCUUAAAACUACUGUGCUAGAGGAAGAUAGAGGUGAGCGGAACUUCGGGUGGAGCGGUGAAAUGCGUUGAUAUCCGAAGGAACACCGGUGGCGAAAGCGGCUCACUGGAUCUUUUCUGACGCUGAUGCACGAAAGCUAGGGGAGCAAACGGG
RNAcentral lists this ribosomal RNA (253 nucleotides) under uncultured bacterium. RNAcentral's name for it is "partial 16S ribosomal RNA". It matches the Rfam family "Bacterial small subunit ribosomal RNA", at positions 524 to 776 of the family's 1533-position model. The record is from RNAcentral.